Molecule: RNA transcript, 4319 nt
Organism: Pan troglodytes (chimpanzee)
Lineage: Eukaryota; Metazoa; Chordata; Mammalia; Primates; Hominidae
Gene: BET1
Gene name: Bet1 golgi vesicular membrane trafficking protein
Exons: 7
Source: RefSeq, a predicted model, not a curated record
GACGCCAUCAUCCGGCGCGGUGGUUAGACUCCACUGAUGUCGUGGCGCUUUAGGGGAAGAAGUUGGUGUUUCGCUGGGCCCUGGUACUGAAGACGCGGUCCGGGUCGCCCCUAGCUGUUUCCUACUCACCCAAAGCCCCGCACCCGCCUUUUCUCUCUCUCCUCUGGCAGGAUGAGGCGUGCAGGCCUGGGUGAAGGAGUACCUCCUGGCAACUAUGGGAACUAUGGCUAUGCUAAUAGUGGGUAUAGUGCCUGUGAAGAAGAAAAUGAGAGGCUCACUGAAAGUCUGAGAAGCAAAGUAACUGCUAUAAAAUCUCUUUCCAUUGAAAUAGGCCAUGAAGUUAAAACCCAGAAUAAAUUAUUAGCUGAAAUGUGGAUCCUUCAGGUUCCAGGGAUUUCACCAGUAGCAGUGAAAGCCUACUUCUGCUAAUUUUGACUGUUCCUCAGCAUUUGUCCAGAAGCUUAAAAAGAAGCAGGCUUACUUUCAGUGCCAUCUAUCACAGCUGCAGAAUUAUAUCAUGACAUGUCAAAAUAAUGACUCUGAAGCCUUCCAAAUCUUCCAAGAAAGAAGAAUCCUUAUUUUAGAUUAGUAGGAAAUGGCUUUCUACCACUCUGAAAAGUCUCUUCUUGGCCAAACAUCAAAGUCUGGAGCCAGAGAUGUAAGCAGAAAUGGGGCGGAAAGAGCUCACAUGUUGAAUCAAUCAGCCUUGAUUUGAAUCAACCUUCCAUCAAUUACAAGCUAAGUAACUUUAAAAAAGUCACUUAAUCUCUCUGGCUUUCUAUUUCCCCAUCUGGAAAGUAACACAUACCUCACAGGUUGUUAUUAGGAACAAAUAAAAAAUUUGUGUCAAGAUGCGUGGCACAUAAUAGGUUUUCUGUAAAUGUUAAUUGAAUAAGAAAAUAGCCUUGGUUCAACAUAUUUUGCCUUUAAGCCAACGACAAUGAUAGCAUUUCAUGCAUAUUGGUUUCAUUUCCUGACUACUUAGGCAAUGUUAUUGAACUUACAGUGUUGUGACAUUGUUACACAGGAGAAGCAAACGUUGUCUCUGAUGGAUGGCAGCUCACACUCUAGAGCUAACACUUUGUAUACAAUCACAGAUGAAAGGAAUGACUUGCUAAUGUCUAUAGCAAAAUUCUGGCCAAAUAUUUGAUGUCGAAUGUUAUUCUCCAGGUGGGAAGGAGCACAAUCUUAGCUUGACACCUCAAAUAAAGCCCCUUUUUAAGAAAAAAUAAAUUCUCCUUAGGGAAUUUUCUCAAGAAUGCUUCUUUUUUCAUAUCCAAUGGCUUUUUUUUUUAAGCUUGCAGUUUCUGGAAAAAGCUGUACAAUAUCAAAAAGCAUUUCAUUUAAUAAAGCAUUUAUCUGCACCUUUAAAAGUCAGAUUACUUCAUGGAAAGUUACCAUAUAAUUUUAACUUUCUUAGUUAAAUCUCAUUAGUAAUGAAUCCAUAUCAUUAAUACAAUUUCAUAUGUAUUACCUUAACCUAUAAUAUAAUAACUAUGUAAUUUAUUAUGUAGACAGAGACACUUUGGAGAGUGAAAUUGGGCUUUAUUAAUUAUUAUCCUGAAGUCAUAAUGUGAGCAUAAGUGGGGCCACAUAGGGACAGCCUUGGACAAAAAAUGUUUACUAGGCCUACUACUGACACCUAAGAGGACUGCUCACAAGGUACUGUGAAAGGAAGUAGGGCUGUUUAGAUUCAGCAGAAGCAUAUUGUGAUUAAUUUUCUUCCUGAAUUGGGAGAUUUGCAUGCCACUUUCAUUUCAGCAUUAACUGUUAUUCCAAGAAAAACUCUGUAGACUUAAAUUGUCCUCAAAUUUUAAGGCAGGAACAGAAUUCCUGUAUUGAUGGCAUGGACUUGGAUUUAUUACUUGCUAAUGCAUUAACAACAGUAAGUCAAUUUAUGACUAUUAGAUUUGAGCUUCAUUAUAUGGUACCUGUUUCACCAAAAAGGGCACAUUGCUUUUAGCAAGAUAUGUUGUUAAAAGGGGGUCUGGGCUUUUAAAUGAAGUGUGAAUGGAAACAAAGGUGCCUAUUUAUAUAUUAUAUUCUAUAGGUAUUUCUGCUUAAGUAUUAUUUACAGUAUAUACAGUAUAUAUUUUAAUCUAUUGAAUUUAUGUUAGGUGCAGUAGAAGUUGUUUUAAUACACUGCAAUAUUUUCUGUCAGGCAAUUUGCUUAAUAACAUAAUAAUAUAAAUUACAAUCUUCAGUACUUGCUAUUGUAAGUAAUUCACAGCUACUUAAAACUUUUGAUAAUAGCAAGUCCCCCUAUUCAGGGACCAGGCAAGAUAUAUUUAUUUCAUCUCUGUCUGUCUUUUCCAAGAUUUCUAUGUUCAUUCUGACAAUUUACCAUCUAGCUACAUCUUCCAGCUAGUAUAUUACUAACACUCUGAAAUAUUUAAAGAAAAAACUAAAUGGUUGAAUUAAAAUACAAAUCGAAUUAAUAAGUUUGAGUCGUUUUUGGAUUAAAACCAGAUUCUAUGUAAUAUUUAACACAUUUAUUCCCAAUUACAUUUGUGAACACAUUUUCUCUUUAUAUAAUUAAUUCAUUUUAUAAUCCAAAUAAUAUUUUUAAACUGUUUACUAUGGAGCACUAUUCCCAUUUUUGGGAUGUCAAUGUAAGAUGGGCCUUGUCUCAAAGAGUUGACUCUAAUACUUUCAUUAUUUAGAACAAGGCAACAGAGUAAGAAUUAUGACUAUAUAUUUGCAUUAUAUGUGCUCAGGGUUCAGAAAAAAAUGUGUAAAAUAUGCAAAUUCUAAAAUUAUUUUGAAGUCUAGCUACUUAAAAGGUCAAAUAAGUGUUUUCUUCUCAAGAGCUAAUGGAGAUGGAGAAAAAUCCACCAAACAAAGAGGUGCAAUUUGGCCCUGCAUUCAUUAGCUUCUCCACACACUGUCACCUACCCAGACAAGAGGAGAUACUUACCCAAUGUUCCAGGGGCUACCUGAAUGAGUACAUUUGCCAAAGAGGCAACCCUGUUUUCUGCUAGUAUUUAAUUAUUUCUUUUUCUCCCUUCUAUUAAACAAAGGUCUUGGUGAAUAUUCUUUGCAAAAUCCACUUAUUUCCCUCUUUCAUGAAUGUUAGAUUGUACAAAAUUUUAUUGCAGAGUAAAAUAUCUUUAAUGCAAAUACUCUAAUGUAACACAUUUUGUAUGAAGUAUUGUGAAUUUAGGUAUUUCAUUUACAAAGAGCCACUGACUAAAAACACUUAGCAAUUGAUACUCUCUCUGUGAAGACCAAAAAAGGCAUAUAGAAGUUCAUCAAAUUAAUAAAUAUUUGGGUAAUUAUGACUUAUCCAAGAUUGAUUUCAAAUAGUAUACAUUGUUUUCUGCAAUUCAAUUUUGAAAUUUAUAGCUAAAUUCAAUGAGACCAAGUAGGGCAUUUGAAAUAAUCAUAAACCAGGUGAGAAAAGAACAAAUUGUCAUUUCCAGAAUCUUGAAGAAUCAAGGAUAAAGAGACUAAAAAUUAAACAUAUGAAUAAUUCAAAUAGCCACAAAUAAAGAAUAUAGAAAUAUAUGCCAUGUGAGAUUGCACUGACUGUUGUAAACUGAAAUAAGCACAAAAAUACUUACAUGAAGUCAGCAUGUGCUCAGGUGAAUACCUUAUGGAUUAUAAUUUGGGUUUCUUCUGCUUUUCCAAAAAAAAAAAGCAGGUCAUAAAUGAAUCUUUCUCUCCUAGGGGAAAAGUCCAGCAUCUAGGGGAAAAGUCCAGCAUCUAUGUCUCCUUCCUGAUUAUUCAUAUCCACCAGCAUAGAGUAGGAAAAUAAAUUAAUGCAGAGAACUCCUAGUUGGGCAAUCAGUUCCAGACUCCACAGACCCCAGGACACAGACUCUAUUCAAGAAUCUGUUUGUGAUGGUUCAGAAGUUUUCAAGCUUGCUUUGGUGCUAUUCACAAUAACAAGGACAUGGAAUCAACUGGGAUGCCCUUCAACAGUGGACUGGAUAAAGAAAAUGUGGUACAUAUAUGCCAUGGAAUAUCACAUAGCCAUAAAAAAGAAUGAAAUCAUAUCCUUUGCAGCAACAUGCAUGCAGCUGGAGGUCAUAAUCCUAAUCGAAUUAAUGCAGGAACAGAAAACCAAAUACUGUAUGUUCUUACUUAUAAGGGAGCUAAACAUUGAGUGCACAUAGAUAUAAAAAUUGGAACAACAGGCACUGUAGAAGGGGGAAGGGAGGAAGGAAGGUAUGGGUUGAAAAACUAGCUAUUGGGUACUAUGCUCACUACUUGGGUGAGAAAUUCAUAUCUCAAACCUCAGCAUCAUGCAACAUAACCAUGUAAAAAAUCUGCACAUGUAACCCCUGAAUCUAAAAUAAAAGUGGAAAUUGUUUUUA